GACGAACGCUGGCGGCGUGCUUAACACAUGCAAGUCGAACGGAAAGGCCCUGCUUUUGUGGGGUGCUCGAGUGGCGAACGGGUGAGUAACACGUGAGUAACCUGCCCUUGACUUUGGGAUAACUUCAGGAAACUGGGGCUAAUACCGGAUAGGAGCUCCUGCUGCAUGGUGGUGGUUGGAAAGUUUCGGCGGUUGGGGCUGGACUCGCGGCUUAUCAGCUUGUUGGUGGGGUAGUGGCUUACCAAGGCUUUGACGGGUAGCCGGCCUGAGAGGGUGACCGGCCACAUUGGGACUGAGAUACGGCCCAGACUCCUACGGGAGGCAGCAGUGGGGAAUAUUGCACAAUGGGCGGAAGCCUGAUGCAGCAACGCCGCGUGCGGGAUGACGGCCUUCGGGUUGUAAACCGCUUUCGCCUGUGACGAAGCGUGAGUGACGGUAAUGGGUAAAGAAGCACCGGCUAACUACGUG
RNAcentral lists this ribosomal RNA (468 nucleotides) under uncultured bacterium. RNAcentral describes it as "partial 16S ribosomal RNA". It matches the Rfam family "Bacterial small subunit ribosomal RNA", at positions 28 to 507 of the family's 1533-position model. The record is from RNAcentral.